RNAcentral lists this ribosomal RNA (253 nucleotides) under uncultured bacterium. RNAcentral's name for it is "partial 16S ribosomal RNA". It matches the Rfam family "Bacterial small subunit ribosomal RNA", at positions 524 to 776 of the family's 1533-position model. The record is from RNAcentral.
UCCGUAGGGCGCAAGCGUUGUCCGGAAUUAUUGGGCGUAAAGAGCUCGUAGGUGGUGUGUCGCGUCUGCCGUGAAAGCCCGGGGCUUAACUCCGGGUCUGCGGUGGAUACGGGCAGACUAGAGGCAGGUAGGGGAGAACGGAAUUCCCGGUGUAGCGGUGAAAUGCGCAGAUAUCAGGAGGAACACCGAUGGCGAAGGCAGUGGGCUGGGCCGGCACUGACGCUGAGGAGCGAAAGCGUGGGGAGCGAACAGG